Long non-coding RNA from Oncorhynchus tshawytscha (Chinook salmon), 3156 nucleotides. The record is from Ensembl. Lineage: Eukaryota; Metazoa; Chordata; Actinopteri; Salmoniformes; Salmonidae.
CCUAGUGAGUGACUAAGUGAAUAUUUGAUCAUAAAAAUGUAAUUAUUUAUGUUAAUACAUAUACAUUCCUUUUUUUAAAUUAUGUUGAACCAACAUGGACUAAACAUUGAUUUGAAGUCUGUGCCCAGUACAGGCCACAUUAGCAAGUCACAUUAUUCUGUCUUUCAAAGUGUUGUAUAAUUCCUAUUGGAAUCUAGUCAGUUUGCAUAUCCAACACCCACAACUGCAGUUAGAAUGACUGCCAAGGUAGGAAAGAUUGAUAAAUGAGACUUCCUUAACCAUCUAAACUGGAACAAUCAUCUCAAUAACGGGUGAAAUAAGGCCAACUACUUACAGAUUGGAUUAGUUAGAUGUUUUAUUUAUUUAUCUUUGUUUAGUAUAAGAUCAAUGAAUCAAUCAAGGUGCAUGCAGAAACAUAGGUCUAGAUAUUAAAACAAACUAUUCUAAAAAGCAACCUGCAACAAAUCAUGCUGGGAAAUACGAUAAUGAGGACCCUCCCAUGUCUUCAAUCUGAGAGAGUUAACAGAAAUUAACUCAACACAGCCGAGUAACAACAACACCACACAGUGUUGAUUCCACUGUGAUUCAAGUAUCUUCAUUUAUUCACUGCAGGUGUUUUUUUUAUUUCAAUCCCACUGGUGUUAUCCCCACCAGAAUCAACACUCAGAUAUAACACUCACAACACUUUUUACCUCAACACUGAGAUUUUAACACCCUCAAAUUUGCUGUGUAGUUAUCAUCUCCAUACAACAGCAACUGACACAACUUUUUCAAAGAUGCCAAUGUCUGUAAAAGCUGCGGGUCCAGUUUUCUCAGGCACCAAGAAACUUAGGUUUAACAGUACAUUACUGUAAACUUUAUAGUAAUGCUCUACAUUAAUGUACUGUUAAACCAAAGUUGCUUUGGAAUCUACGGUAACAUACUGUAAAAUGUGUUAAAGUAAUUUACAGGUAACUGGCUGCCAGUAAGUUAGCAUAAAAACAACAUGAUUAUUUUACAGUGUACUAUGUAGGACAAAUAGUAAUGUGUGCUUUAAUCAUAUAGCCAACACUGGAAAUAUACUUUAAAUAAGAUAUAGCAAAGUGUUCUAUUUAAAAUAGGAAAGAAUUUCCCGGGAAUGUUGUUGGGAAAAGGAUGUUGUUUGAAAGAGGCUAUUAUUGAAGGAAAAUCCAUGGGCCUAAUGAUAUACACUAGCCCUGAUGCUUUGUAUGGAGUCAAAUAAAGAUGCACAAAAAUUAGUCAUGAAGUUGUUUUGUACAAGAGAACAAUUCUGUCAAGUUUUGAUUAAAUAAAAUGAGUGCAUUGUGAAGUCCAAUAAUAGCCUAAUUGGUCUAUAUAGAGAGUUGUAUUUUUAUUUAUUCACUCAUUAUUUGUAAACAUCCCAUUUCCAAGUAUGUACAAAGAAGUUUCACGGUAUGAUUUAGGCCUUUGACGAAAAUUGCCUAUAAAUUGAAAUAAAUCUUUGGGAUUUGGUGUAAAAAAAGUUUUACUGUAAUCUUAAAACAGAUCAGACAUUUUAAGAUUAUCCUCACCAUUUUAAUGCAAAUAAUAAUGUAUGCAUAGACAGAAACAAAAUGUUUAUUUCAAUGUUUAUUUCACAAGUAGCACAUGUAAUGUAGGCUAGGCAAGUUUUUUAAUUGUGUUAUGGAUGUACUGAAUACUUUGAAUGUUUCAACAUAUUUAUAAAAUGUUCAAAAGCCUCGAGGGUAUCAAUAUUCAUCUCUUUAAACAAUCCAUGCUAUUUUAUGGCUAUGUGUCAAAACCAAGGCUCAAACUUAUCUCAUUGUAAAUGUGUACAUUUGAUUACUUUUUACCUUAUUUCAACAUAUGGUCUUGCUAUGGUCAAAUUGUACUGAUAUGUACUGAACAAAAAUAUAAACACAACAUGCAACAAUUUCUAAGAUUUUACUGAGUUACAGUUUGUAUAAGGAAAUCAGUCAUUUGAAGUAAAUUCAUUAGGCCCUAAUCUAUGAAUUUCACAUGACUUGGCAGUGGUGCAGCCAUAGGUGGGCUUUGGAGAGCAUAGGCCCACCCACUUGCCAGCCAGGCCCACCCACUGGGGAGCCAGGCCCAGCCAAUAAGGGGUGCAGCCAUAGUUGAGCCUUGUAGAGCAUAGGCCCAACCACUUGUCAGCCAGGCCUACCCACCACCCAGGCCGGAUGUGGAGGGGCUGGCGUGGUUACACGGGGUCUGCAGUUGUGAGGCCGGUUGGACAUACUGCCAAAUUCUCUAAAGUAACGUUAGUGGCAGCUUAUGGUAAAGAAAUUGACAUUAAAUUCUCUGGCAGCAGCUCAGGUGGACAUUCCUGUAGUGAGCAUGCCAAUUGCAUACUCCCUCAAAACUUGAGGCAUCUGUGGCAUUGUGUUGUGUGACAAAACUGCACAUUUUAAAGUGGUCUUUUAUUGUCCCCGGCACAAGGUGCACCUGUGUAAUGAUCCCGCUGUUUAAUCAGCUUCUUGAUAUGUCACACCUGUCAGGUGGAUAGAUUAUAAUGGCAAAGGAGAAAUGCUCACUUACAGGGAUGUAAACAAAUUUGUGCACAACAUUUGAGAGAAAUAAGCUAUUUGUGUGUAUGGAACAUUUCUGGGAUUUUUUAUUUUUUAUUUCAUGAUUGUGUGUUAUUUAAUAACAGCAUCAGUAAUGAGGACAGUGAUAGUACGCAUGAUAACAAUAUAAUUAUAACAUUAUUGUUGUCAUAUCAUUUGUUGCUAUAAUAUUGUUGUAAUAUUGAUAAUUAAUAAUUACUAUUAUUAUUGCAAUACUAAUAAUAACAUAAUUAAUCAAAAAUUAUGUAUUGCUCUUGUUAUUGUAUGUACAGUGUACAUAUUGCAUGUCAUACAUUUCUUAAUCGUGUAAUGUUUGUUGAUGUCAAUCCUCAUUUUUUUUUGUCAGCAUGUGAUCCUGUGGAUAAAAAAAAAACAUUUUCAUUAAAAAAAUAUUUUGGUCCAGAAGUGUAAUUUCAACCUUUUCUCAAGCCACAAGUGAUGUUAUGUGAGAAUUAAUUUAGUUCCCUCUGAAAUACUGUAUGUGUCUCUCUUGUCCAUAUGAAGGUCCUCAGUGUAACCUGGGCUGACCGUCUGUCUAACUGCCUCCUCUCUCAGACAAGAGGAGAGGUCUCUAUCUAGGCCUACAGUCCACUGCUCUUUUAAGUCCUCC